This 255-nucleotide ribosomal RNA is filed under the name uncultured bacterium. RNAcentral's name for it is "partial 16S ribosomal RNA". It matches the Rfam family "Bacterial small subunit ribosomal RNA", at positions 524 to 776 of the family's 1533-position model. The record is from RNAcentral.
CACGUAGGGGCCAAGCGUUGUCCGGAUUUAUUGGGCGUAAAGAGCUCGUAGGCGGUUGGGUAAGUCGGGUGUGAAAACUCUGGGCUCAACUCAGAGACGCCACCCGAUACUGCUCUGACUUGAGUCCGGUAGGGGAGUGGGGAAUUCCUGGUGUAGCGGUGAAAUGCGCAGAUAUCAGGAGGAACACCGGUGGCGAAGGCGCCACUCUGGGCCGGAACUGACGCUGAGGAGCGAAAGCGUGGGGAGCAAAACAGG